This is a long non-coding RNA of Xiphias gladius (swordfish), 776 nucleotides long. RefSeq lists it as uncharacterized. The record is from RefSeq and is a predicted model, not a curated record. NCBI's taxonomy places the organism in Eukaryota, Metazoa, Chordata, Actinopteri, Istiophoriformes, Xiphiidae. The transcript is spliced from 4 exons.
GUGUCGUAACCUGUCGUGCUUUUCUGUAGUUCUUGAUGUAUCUAUGCUUUUGGAGGUCGGUUGUGUCUGAGCAGCAGCUUUUAGCUAAACUCAAUUCAGAACAACUGAGCGGGAAGUGAGCAGAGAGAAGGCACGAAACUUGCACGGUUACCGCUCUAGUUUCCCCCUUUGCGUUUAAUUUAGUUUAUAUUAUAUUAUAUAUUAUAUAUUAUAUUAUUUGAGACCAUUUCGUCUGUAAAUGCCCCGACUUUGCGGUUUCAAACAGUUAUUAGUAUAGAGUGUUUCCCUCCUUCAGCCCCAGGGGGCAGCAGUGAACCCGUUCCUGCUCAGAGAAAAUACCGAAGAAGACGCCGCGCUCGAAAACUUAAUUGGACGCGUCGAACAAAGUCUAGAAGAAAGGUUGUGAGUUCAGCAUCAAACUUGAUUCCUUUACUGGGCAAGAGCUGCCUCCAGCGGUGGAAAACAACGCCAAUGUUACCUCGGGUUUUGCUUCUACUUCCAUCACUUCUUUUCUUCUACUGAAGUUAGCAUGCUAACCAACAAUGGCUGCAGCUCUCGGCGAGCAACAGUCGUCACCACCUGCUUCCGAGAGGACAGAGUAGGAAGCCGCCCCAGAGGCCUCCGACAAAAAAAACAAUGGCAGCGCAUUGGCCAGCUGGCCAAACAAACGUGUGUGCACUGACACGGAUAUGUGAGAGUUUUGAAACAACUUGGCACAAGCUCGACUGCCUUCGAGACCAGUACAACGUCUACUGGGGCUCUUACUGGGUAGGUUG